Molecule: non-coding RNA, 606 nt
Organism: Paramuricea clavata
Lineage: Eukaryota; Metazoa; Cnidaria; Anthozoa; Malacalcyonacea; Plexauridae
Source: the annotation of a GenBank genome assembly
UCAAAUUGAAGCUAUUGAAAAACGCUAUUUGGUGUAGAAAUUUCAAGACUUUAGCUAAAAGGGAAAUAUUGAAAAACUACAAACAUAAUUACCGAUAAUUUGCCGUUUUGCAGUUGUUUUUGUAUUUUUUAAAUAUUUCUCUUUUCGCUGAAGUCUUGAAAUUUCCACACCGAAUAGCAAUUUUUAAUAGCUUCAAUUUGAUAUAAAGCACGACGUUUGGGGUCAAGUAUUUCUGCUCAUAACUCAGAAAAACUAUUUUGGCUUCAUCAAAUCAUAGGCCUUCAUCAUAGCAGUUAGCCUUCCAGUUUAUUUAUAGUUCAAUGGUUGUAUCCAAGGCUUCUAAACCGCAUAUUACGACGAGGUGGUGUCCCUGUGGAGGACUUAUUGAGUAUAUACUUUGCCUUAAUAUGAUCGGUUCUGGAGUACUGCUGUGUGGUAUGGCAUCAUGCCGUACCUUUGUAGCUCGCCGAUGAGUUAGAGCGAGUGCAAAAACGAGCGCUGAGGAUUAUUUUACCGGGUUACUCUUACAGGGAAGCAUUAGCACAACUUGGGUGUUCCAGAUUGGAUGAAAGGCGAGAACAACAUUGCCUCAACACUAUGAAACGC